AUGAAGUGUUCUCCGGGCUAUGUGACUGUGGUACUCUUAAUGCUUGGACAAACCCGUGGAGACUCAGUGACUCAGACGGAAGACCAAGUGACCCUCUCAGAAAAUGCUUUCCUGACUAUGAAUUGUACUUAUUCAGCUUCACGGUACCCUGCCCUUUUCUGGUAUGUCCAGUAUCCAGGAGAAGGUCUAGAGCUCCUCCUGAACGCCUUGAAGGACAAGGAGAAAGGAAGCAACAAAGGAUUUGAAGCCACCUACGACCGCAAAUUGAAAUCCUUUCACUUGGAUAAACACUCAUGA
Enhydra lutris kenyoni (northern sea otter) is the source of this 297-nucleotide non-coding RNA. The record is from the annotation of a RefSeq genome assembly. NCBI's taxonomy places the organism in Eukaryota, Metazoa, Chordata, Mammalia, Carnivora, Mustelidae.